GGGAGCACAGCUCAGUGGAAGAACAUGUGCUUUGCAUGCAGAAGGUCCCAGUUCAGUCCCCUGGUGUCUUCA
Molecule: non-coding RNA, 72 nt
Organism: Phrynosoma platyrhinos (Desert horned lizard)
Lineage: Eukaryota; Metazoa; Chordata; Lepidosauria; Squamata; Phrynosomatidae
Source: the annotation of a GenBank genome assembly